UACGAAGGGUGCAAGCGUUACUCGGAAUUACUGGGCGUAAAGCGUGCGUAGGUGGUUUGUUAAGUCUGAUGUGAAAGCCCUGGGCUCAACCUGGGAAUUGCAUUGGAUACUGGCAGGCUAGAGUGCGGUAGAGGAUGGCGGAAUUCCCGGUGUAGCAGUGAAAUGCGUAGAGAUCGGGAGGAACAUCUGUGGCGAAGGCGGCCAUCUGGACCAGCACUGAUACUGAGGCACGAAAGCGUGGGGAGCAAACAGG
RNAcentral lists this ribosomal RNA (253 nucleotides) under uncultured bacterium. RNAcentral's name for it is "partial 16S ribosomal RNA". It matches the Rfam family "Bacterial small subunit ribosomal RNA", at positions 524 to 776 of the family's 1533-position model. The record is from RNAcentral.